Molecule: long non-coding RNA, 203 nt
Filed under: Ictidomys tridecemlineatus (thirteen-lined ground squirrel)
Lineage: Eukaryota; Metazoa; Chordata; Mammalia; Rodentia; Sciuridae
Description: lncRNA (ENSSTOG00000033358.1)
Source: RNAcentral
ACCAGCCAGGUUUGAUAAAUGAGUUAUAUUUUCUAUUUUUCAGGUAGAUACACCAAGGAAAGCAUCUUUUCAAGAAAUUUACAGCUUACCUGCUUAGAAUGCCUAGAAUUAAGAAUACAUCUGACACUGAUGAGCUUUUCUUGUACUACUUGGUUUGGAGGGUUGACAUGACACCCCAAGUGGGAAAUUCUACACCUGACCUC